AUGGGAACAGGUCACUGACACCAAAAAGUCCAGCGCUUAAGGGCCCAGCAGCAGGAGAGACUGAAAAUAUAAAUCAGAGCAUAUCCCUGUGGCCCAGCUGGCCUUGUUUCUGCUCAGUACUGGCUCCAACUGUCUCUGCACUAAGCUUCUUCCUGGGUUCUCUUCUGGCUUCCUCUGUCACUCACAGCUCAGUUCAGGUCUCCCUUCUAGUGGACAGGACUGCGCCAGUCACCUAUUGCUUUAAUUCCCUAACGCUCUCCCGUCUCGCCUGGAACCCACAUUUGGUUAUUUUCUGUGCUUUCCACUAGGAUGUGCGUUUCUAAGACUAAAGACCAGGCCUGUGUUCCAGUGCAUUUCUCAAGUCCCAGUGUCUGACACGUGGCAGACACUGAGGGAUGAACAGAACUCUAGGCAUCUGGGAGAGCUGAUGCUACGUGGUUGUGAGUCGGGGCGGGUAGAAGCAAGUGUAGCAAAAGCCCAGCACAGAAUGCCUACCAAGGGCGUACAUUUGUAAUACAGGACACCAGAAUGAUCGGACACUUAGCUAACAGGAGGUGAUAGUGGCGUUCCGUAUGUGUGUGUAUAUGGGGAGGGGGGUGUGAAUUGAGGUCAGAGGAAAAUUUGUGAGAGUCAGUUCUCUCCCUUCACCAUGAGGACUGAACUCUGGCCAGCAG
This 674-nucleotide long non-coding RNA is filed under the name Rattus norvegicus (Norway rat). Its description in RNAcentral is "long non-coding RNA NONRATT008004". The record is from RNAcentral. Lineage: Eukaryota; Metazoa; Chordata; Mammalia; Rodentia; Muridae.